UCAGAACGAACGCUGGCGGCAGGCUUAACACAUGCAAGUCGAGCGCCCCGCAAGGGGAGCGGCAGACGGGUGAGUAACGCGUGGGAAUCUACCCAUCUCUACGGAACAACUCCGGGAAACUGGAGCUAAUACCGUAUACGUCCUUAUGGAGAAAGAUUUAUCGGAGAUGGAUGAGCCCGCGUUGGAUUAGCUAGUUGGUGGGGUAAUGGCCUACCAAGGCGACGAUCCAUAGCUGGUCUGAGAGGAUGAUCAGCCACACUGGGACUGAGACACGGCCCAGACUCCUACGGGAGGCAGCAGUGGGGAAUAUUGGACAAUGGGCGCAAGCCUGAUCCAGCCAUGCCGCGUGAGUGAUGAAGGCCCUAGGGUUGUAAAGCUCUUUCAACGGUGAAGAUAAUGACGGUAACCGUAGAAGAAGCCCCGGCUAACUUCGUGCCAGCAGCCGCGGUAAUACGAAGGGGGCUAGCGUUGUUCGGAAUUACUGGGCGUAAAGCGCACGUAGGCGGAUACUUAAGUCAGGGGUGAAAUCCCGGGGCUCAACCCCGGAACUGCCUUUGGAUAUGGGUAUCUGGAGUCCGGAACAGGUGAUUGUCAUUCCGAGUGU
RNAcentral lists this ribosomal RNA (604 nucleotides) under uncultured bacterium. RNAcentral's name for it is "bacterial SSU rRNA". It matches the Rfam family "Bacterial small subunit ribosomal RNA", at positions 24 to 676 of the family's 1533-position model. The record is from RNAcentral.